Molecule: ribosomal RNA, 439 nt
Filed under: uncultured bacterium
Lineage: Bacteria
Description: partial 16S ribosomal RNA
Rfam family: Bacterial small subunit ribosomal RNA
Source: RNAcentral
CUACGGGCCGCAGCAGUGAGGAAUAUUGCACAAUGGGGGGAACCCUGAUGCAGCAACGCCGCGUGGAGGAUGACGCAUUUCGGUGUGUAAACUCCUUUUAUAUGUCAAGAAAAUGACGGUAGCAUAUGAAUAAGCACCGGCUAACUCCGUGCCAGCAGCCGCGGUAAUACGGAGGGUGCAAGCGUUACUCGGAAUCACUGGGCGUAAAGGACGCGUAGGCGGGUUGGAAAGUCAGGUGUGAAAUCCUACAGCUUAACUGUAGAACUGCACUUGAAACUUCUAAUCUAGAGUAUGGGAGGGGGAGAUGGAAUUAGUGGUGUAGGGGUAAAAUCCGUAGAUAUCACUAGGAAUGCCUAAAGCGAAGGCGAUCUCCUGGAACAUUACUGACGCUAAGGCGUGAAAGCGUGGGGAGCAGACAGGAUUAGAUACCCUUGUAGUC